UUUUAAUUUCCAAAAUCUAAAAACUCAAAACAAUGCACAGUAAUACUAAAACACCAGCCACCGCCCACCAAAUCCUAAAAUCUCACAACUCAAAAAUCUCUAACCCUAAAUUGAAAAUCCUUAAUCUAAAAUCUCCCAAGUUUCAAAAUCCCUACUGCUAGUCACCACUAUCUGACGUCCACCAGUCACAUCAUCUAACGUACACCAGGUUACCAUCAUCGUUCAAUGUUUGUCUGCCAUCGAUUUUGACUUUGCUAGUCAAAGGUUUUUUUUUACUGAAAUUGAUUCUUCUACUUCAUUUUUAUGAAAAAAAUUCAUUCUUUGAUAUUUCUGUAAUUCUACUACUGCUUUUUUGUUCUCAACGAGUCAACGUGUGUUUGUGAAUGUAAUUUUGUAGAAAGGUUAUUGACCAUAUCUGCUGCUUCUUUGCUCUGUAGGUUACUGACGUAGUUAUGCUGUUAAUUUAUCGCCGGUGAUUACUCCUCCGGCUAUGGAUGCUGUAGAAAGUGCAUUGGUUUCUCAUUUAUAUAUGUAUACGUUAUACUUCUUUUCAAAUCGGCCUUGAAUUUUAGUUCUAGUAGCAGAUCUAUAUAUAUGAAAGUGAGGUAGUUAUGCUAUUUGCACAUCAAAGAUUAUCGAUAUGGUUGAUGUUUUGGAUUUCGAUUAUAUUCAAUAUUAUUAUGGACUAUGGAGUAAUAACGUUCUUAUUAGUAUAAUGAGAGAUAUUUUCUCUUUAUAUACAACUAUGUUAGGAGUGUGAGUGGUCUUUGUUAGAUGCUUUAGAGAAGUUAUACAUACAUAUAUUUAUAUGUUGGUUCCUCUUCUAUUAGGUAUAGCUAAGUAGCCAUAUCUACAUUAUAAUUUACCUAACCAGAACUUUGGAACCCUACAAUAUUUUGAUAAAAAACUAUUUUGUUCGAUUUUAACCUAAUUCUGCUUGAAGGCAUAGAAGGGGUGGUAGUUGAUUUCCUAAGCUAUACUUAGGCCAAAGACAUUUUCUUUUUAUAUCAAACAAAUAUAUAAAUAUAAGUUAGAAAGUGAAACUUAAGCAAGAUAGGGAAUGCAUUAUAUAAAACUAUAUUGUAGUUACAGUAAAGCAUAAGCCUAAUUUUGUAGUAUAUAUUGAAUGGUCAUCCGGUAUAUAUUUUAUAUAUACGUGAAGUUAAACUUUCUACUUUGUGUGCUAUUCAAAGCUUGAUGAAAUAAUGUAAACACAUAGAUGAGCAAGAGGUAUAACAAUAAUUAAACCAGUGAUUGUUCAGUAUGUGGUGUGAACUCAUCAUAUUUAUGUUAUCCAUGUGGUUCAUAAACUCAAGUAAAAAUAAUUUUAAAAUAAAGCUGGAAUAACAUAGUUUCAAACUAAUAGCGAUGUGUUGGCAUGCGUAUGUGCCACAUGGACAUAGAUACGCUAUUCCUUUUCCUUUUUCCAUUAUCAUGCAACAUGUUUAUGGUGAAAUUCUAAGUAUCUUUUUCUUUCCCAAUAGUUGUGUUUUUUUUUUGCUUGCUUUCCUUUUGUUAAGUUUGAGAUGAAAAGAUAAAUGGUCUUUGACAGUUUCUUGUGGUAUUAUAUAUAAUCUAAUCAGACUGUGGUAUAGAAUGUUUUAUAUUUUUAGGUUAAAUUAUUCAAAUGUUGACCUAAGUAUGCCUGUGAUUUUGUUUUGGUCAUUCAACUUUGCAUUUAUUUUAAUAUUAUACAUGUAUGAAAAAAACUAAAGUCGUCGACUAGUCGUCCGGUUUCGAUUUUUCACUAUCUGAGGUAAGUCUACUAGUUAUUAACGUAUUUAAAUCAGUAUAUAUGUAUGUAUAUCUAUUGUAUUUUUGUUAAGCUAUAAUUAAAAAUAAUUUGAUUGAAUAAGUUUGAAAUAUAAAUGGUAUAUAUGUAUAUACUAUAUUCGAAUAUAAGAAUAUAUGCCUAUAUAAGUCUUUGAAUUAAAUGUAAGUACGAAUGGUAUACAGAUAAAUAUAUAUACAUUGUUUGAAUAUUAAAUAUGUAUCUAUAUGUUUAUGUUAUUGAAAAUAUUUGAUGAUAUGAGGAUUAUAAAUGUAAACACAAAAUUCGAAUAUAUAUGUACAUUCAUGUAUAAUCUUUGAGUUUGAUUAAAAGUAUGUAUAUUGCAUUUGCAUAGAUAAUUUCGAAUAAGUAUAUAUAUAUGAGUUGAAACAUAUACGUAUAUAUGUUUGAAUAGGUCUUGAACAUAUUUCAAGGUGUGAAUGUUAAAUAUAUAUAUAUAUAUAUGGGUAGUACUGCAUAUGUAUGAAUAUACAUGUAAAAGUUAUUUUCGAAUAGGUAUAUAUAUAUACACAUAAAUAUAUGUUAAGUUCUUGUAUUGAAUUUAGUUAAGUAAUAAUAUAUAAAUAUUUAUAAGUGUUUGAAUUGAAUUGAAGACAUGAUUUAUAAACUUUUAUUUGAUUGGACAUGAACUACAAUGAACAUGUGUUUAUUAUAAAGAAUUAUUUGAGGAAAUAUUUUGUAUAUGAGAAAUUGAAAUUUUUAGACUUAAAGUCUAGCAGGUUUAAGGCCGGUGAUAUAAUUCAAACUUAAAGUCUAGCAGGCUUAAGGUCGGUGAUAUAAUUCAGAAGGCUUAAGGCUGGUGAUAUAAUUCAGCCUUAAAAUCUAGCAGGCUUAAGGCCGGUGAUAUAAUUCAGACUUAAAGUCCAGUAGGUUUAAGGCCGGUGAAAUAAUUCGGACUUUAAGUCUAACAGGCUAAUUGUUGGUGAAUUGAAUCAGGUUUUUUUUUUAAAACCUUGCAGGCUAGUUGCUGGUGAACUUGUUUAAAAAUGUGUGAGUUGUGCAGACUUAAGUAUUUGAAGGAGUUUGUGUUUUUAUUCGGCAUAAGUAGUUGAAAAAUUUAUGUAUAUAUCUAUGCAUUUGUUAAUGUAAUUGGAAGUUAUAUAUAUACGUGUUAAUGUAUGUGUAUUUGGCAUAAGAAAUUGAGGAAAUAUACUAUUGCGUAUAUGGGAACUUAAAUAUGUAUAGUUAUUGUUUGCAAGUAAUUGUUGAUCAAGAAAGCAUUCGGCUUAUCAUGUUUAAGUAUGAGUUAGGUAAAAAAAAAAGAUUAAUAUACAAAUACGUGUGAUGGGUUGUGAAAUGUGAAUAAUGUAUCCAUAUUUAUAUUCAAGUAUAUGUACAGGGUAAGUUCACAUAUACCUUUAGUUAUAUGCUUAUGAUAAAUACAUGUACCCACUCAGUCUUUAUAUUUGUUAAGCAUAUAUAUAUAUAUGUGCAUUUCGUAUAUAUAAUUAUUAUUAAGUUUCUAUGAGUUUAGUGAUAUGUAAUUUGACAGGUAAAGAAGGGUUCUAUUAUAUUAGAUUGACAUUUACAUGUAUUUGUAUAAACACAUAUGUAUAUUCGAUAUUGAUAGUUAUUGAAUCUAUAUGUAUAUAAAUAAGUAUUCGGUUAUACACACUUCAUGUGUAUGUAUAUUUAAUUCUAAGUAUUACAUAAUGGGAUAUGUGAAGGUUACACUGUAUAUUUAUAGAAUCAGGAAAUUAUUUGAUAUUUAUGUAAUGUUUUAAUAUUAAAUUUUUGGUUUAUUAUAGACUUACUAAGCUAUAAAAGCUUACUUCAUUUGUUAAUUAUGUCUUUCUGUUUUAUAGUUUUAAAGAUCAAGCCUCAAGCUCGAGGAUCGUCAGCAAGUUCAUCACCCUAUCUGUAGUCUCGGUAUUUAAAAUGUUUAAAUUCUAACUAUGACAUGUACAGACUAGAUAAAUGUGUUGAAGGUCGUAUUUUGUAAUAGUGUAUAUGAAUAUAAUAGCCAUACUAAUAUGGUUUAUUUACUUAUGGAUUUGCUAGUUUGUAAUGUCUUUGUUUACUUUAAAUGGUUAGAAGGGAAAAUUUAAAAUUUGCAUAUUUAAUUUUAG
RNAcentral lists this long non-coding RNA (3861 nucleotides) under Gossypium barbadense (sea-island cotton). RNAcentral's name for it is "long non-coding RNA (GBAR_LNC013771)". Lineage: Eukaryota; Viridiplantae; Streptophyta; Magnoliopsida; Malvales; Malvaceae. The record is from RNAcentral.